This 76-nucleotide transfer RNA is filed under the name Orientia tsutsugamushi. RNAcentral's name for it is "tRNA-Lys". It matches the Rfam family "tRNA". Rfam says of the family: Transfer RNA (tRNA) molecules are approximately 80 nucleotides in length. Their secondary structure includes four short double-helical elements and three loops (D, anti-codon, and T loops). Lineage: Bacteria; Pseudomonadati; Pseudomonadota; Alphaproteobacteria; Rickettsiales; Rickettsiaceae. The record is from RNAcentral. RNAcentral also lists the same sequence under 8 other names.
GAGCCUGUAGCUCAGCUGGUAGAGCACUUGACUUUUAAUCAAGGUGUCCCGGGUUCGAAUCCCGGCAGGCUCACCA